AGGCAGGGGAGAAAAAUGGCACUAGCCAGCUCCUUUCUUCUUCGAGAAGUGUCAUAAUAUCCCUGACCCUCCUGUACAAGUUCUGAAAUUAAGGGUGGCCUUGGAAGGCUGGAAACCUGAGUUGAGUAUGCAUGAUCUCAUUUAUUCUGAUGGCAAUCCUAUAAUGGAGCCUCCCUAGCUUCUCGGCCUUUCAUCUGCUGAACACCGUCAGCCGUGGAAUAGCAUCACUGUGUCUCUCAUUGCCAGGUGGUGGAUGUCAACCUAUUGAAAUCUCCUUUGAAUGUUUGCAGGAAGUUGGUUUUUAACCAGGGGAGGUCUCAAGCAAGCCUAACAGGACCAGAAAACUAGAAGCAGGAAAUCUUGUGGAAUCCCCCAGCAAACCGGCUGUCACCUACUCCUCUUCCCCCUGCCCUCCUCACUGAGAGCUGAGAACUCCACUUGGAAAUCUUUUAGGACAUUCCCAAGUGAGAUGCCACUAUUUCUCAACAUUCUGAUAUGCACAUAGGACUUACUGAAAAUGUCGGGGUGGGGUGCCUUGUGAUGAUAAAAGUCACAUGAAAUUAUAAAAUUUAAAAAUAAAAACA
Long non-coding RNA from Enhydra lutris kenyoni (northern sea otter), 584 nucleotides. RefSeq lists it as uncharacterized. The transcript has 4 exons. The record is from RefSeq and is a predicted model, not a curated record. Lineage: Eukaryota; Metazoa; Chordata; Mammalia; Carnivora; Mustelidae.